GUGCUUGCUUUGGCAGCACAUAUACCAAAAUUGGAAUGAUACAGAGAAGAUUAGCAUGGCCCCUGCACAAGGAUGACACACAAAUUUGUGAAGCAAAUUUGA
RNAcentral lists this small nuclear RNA (102 nucleotides) under Colobus angolensis palliatus. Lineage: Eukaryota; Metazoa; Chordata; Mammalia; Primates; Cercopithecidae. The record is from RNAcentral.